This is a long non-coding RNA of Cuculus canorus (common cuckoo), 1345 nucleotides long. RefSeq lists it as uncharacterized. The record is from RefSeq and is a predicted model, not a curated record. The transcript is spliced from 3 exons. NCBI's taxonomy places the organism in Eukaryota, Metazoa, Chordata, Aves, Cuculiformes, Cuculidae.
GGCCGGGGCGGCGCGACCGAACCUCUCGGCGCAGGCUGCGGAGCUCCGGGGGAACCGCGCCCCGGCAGCUCCUGCCCGGCCCCCGUGGAGGUGCCAGCCCGGUGUGCCCAUGCCUCUCCACUGCGCUCCCCAGUCGUGCCGGGGACGGUGCAGGUUGUUUCCUGAGUCGUUGAAUUGUUAAGGGCGGAAAAGACCUCGAAGAUGAUCCAGUCCUGCCCGAGGCCUGGGUCUCGCUCGAUCCCGCUCGGCCCGCAGAGCCCUCGCUCUGGUGCACUAACACAGCCUUGGGUUCUGCAUCAGCUGCCAAUGGAUACUUUUCCAUUAUUAAUGUAACAACUUACUACAAUACAGGAGCCAGAAAUUAAAGUGUUUCUUUCUGACUCCCAAAAGAAGAACAGGAGAGGCAUAGAAAAGACGUGACCUAUUGUAAGACAUUAUUCAGUGCCAUGGGCUUCCCUUUGUUCAGACUCUGUCGCCUGGAUUGUGGUGGGUGAGCGGCGCCGACAGCUGGUGGCAAGGGUUUAAGCCAUGCCACUGGUCAUGACAAAGCAGCCCGAGCCUGCAACAGUGCGUGCUGUCCACAGCAUGACCCGCGGGCAGGGACAGAGAAGGGAAGACUUCCCUAAGGAAGUACACAAGGAUCCUUCAUCCUGAACAGAUAUGCCAGCCCACAAGAAGCCAGAGUGCUGUGCAGAAGAAUGGGCAUGCUGACGCCGGCAGGGAACGCUGACUCUUCUGGAGUCAUCAGGAUCUCUGCUGCUGGCUUUGAAAGGGAAGAAGACAGCCCAGCUUGGCCUCUCACUGCGAGUUAGUCACACGCCGUUUCUUUUCUUGACAGUAGCUGUAUUAAGGUAACAUUUGAAGAUAAGCUUGUCAUCAUCAAAGCAACAGAUACUUUUUCUACAACACAAACAAGACUUCACAUUACAUUGAAAAAGGAAAGGCUUUUUUUCCAUCUCUUUUUUUUUUUUCUGUAUGCAUGUCUUAACUCAGGAAAUUAAUCAGACUACUGAAUUUCAUGUUUGAACAUAUUCAUUCAAAUAUUUUACUAAAAACAUCUGCUUUGGCUUUUACCCCAGGCCUUUUAAGACCAUUAGCCCUAUUCCAAUGCUGCUAUGCCAUGGUGUGUACUGACAAGCGGCGUUCCAGAAUUGCAAACGAGGUGUGCGGCCUUGCUUGUCGUGCCAGCUAGGGGCGGUGGCAGGCACCCAGUGUCCUCCUUGCUGGGUCAUCAAUCUGAAAUCCUGGGCACUGCUGGCUGGAAACUUCCUGCUAUGCCAGCUGUUUUGGGGGGCGGAUUGUGGGUGGAACAGGUGUGCAUGGACUAAGAGCAAAGGUUGUUUUC